This 353-nucleotide unclassified non-coding RNA is filed under the name soil metagenome. RNAcentral's name for it is "partial contains 5.8S ribosomal RNA, internal transcribed spacer 2, and large subunit ribosomal RNA". The stretch from base 1 to 120 matches the Rfam family "5.8S ribosomal RNA", at positions 35 to 154 of the family's 154-position model. The record is from RNAcentral.
GAUGAAGAACGUAGCGAAAUGCGAUAAGUAAUGUGAAUUGCAGAAUUCAGUGAAUCAUCGAAUCUUUGAACGCACAUUGCGCCCGCCAGUAUUCUGGCGGGCAUGCCUGUUCGAGCGUCAUUACAACCCUCAGGCCCCCGGGCCUGGCGUUGGGGAUCGGCGGAAGCCCCCUGCGGGCACAACGCCGUCCCCCAAAUACAGUGGCGGUCCCGCCGCAGCUUCCAUUGCGUAGUAGCUAACACCUCGCAACUGGAGAGCGGCGCGACCACGCCGUAAAACACCCAACUUCUGAAUGUUGACCUCGAAUCAGGUAGGAAUACCCGCUGAACUUAAGCAUAUCAAUAAGCGGAGGA